This 510-nucleotide ribosomal RNA is filed under the name uncultured bacterium. RNAcentral's name for it is "bacterial SSU rRNA". It matches the Rfam family "Bacterial small subunit ribosomal RNA", at positions 1 to 507 of the family's 1533-position model. The record is from RNAcentral.
ACGAGUUUGAGUCCUGGCUCGAGAGCGAACGUUUGCGGCGGGCUUAACACAUGCAAGUCGAACGGGCUGUCCUUCGGGGGCAGUCAGUGCGCACGGGUGCGUAACACGUAGGUAAUCAACCCUCGUGGUUGGGGAUAACACUUCGAAAGGAGUGCUAAUACCCGGUAUGGCGCAGCGGUCUUCGGAUCGCGGCGAGAAAGACCCGCAAGGGUUGCCAGAGGACGAGCCUGCGGCCCAUCAGCUAGUUGGUGGGUAACGGCCUACCAAGGCGAAGACGCGUAGCUGGUCUGANAGGAUGAUCAGCCACACUGGCACUGAAACACGGGCCAGACUCCUACGGGAGGCAGCAGUGGGGAAUAUUGGACAAUGGGCGCAAGCCUGAUCCAGCCACGCCGCGUGAGUGAUGAAGGCCUUCGGGUUGUAAAGCUCUGUGGGGAGGGGCGAAAACGGCCGGUAAGAAACGACCGGUCCUUGACGGUACCUCCUUAGCAAGCACCGGCUAACUCUGUG